CAGGUAGUAGUGGGUGUAGCGUACCUACUAGCCUACGACGGGUACGGGUUGUGAGAGCAAGAGCCCGGAGAUGGAUUCUGAGACACGAAUCCAGGCCCUACGGGGUGCAGCAGGCGCGAAAACUUUACAAUGCUGGAAACAGCGAUAAGGGAACCUCGAGUGCCAGGUUACAAAUCUGGCUGUCGUGAUGCCUAAAAAGCAUUGCAUAGCAAGGGCCGGGCAAGACCGGUGCCAGCCGCCGCGGUAACACCGGCGGCUCGAGUGGUAACCGUUAUUAUUGGGUCUAAAGGGUCUGUAGCCGGCCGGAUAAGUCUCUUGGGAAAUCUGGCAGCUUAACUGUCAGGCUUUCAGGAGAUACUGUCUGGCUCGAGGCCGGGAGAGGUGAGAGGUACUUCAGGGGUAGGGGUGAAAUCUUGUAAUCCUUGAAGGACCACCAGUGGCGAAGGCGUCUCACCAGAACGGACCUGACGGCAAGGGACGAAAGCUAGGGGCACGAACCGGAUUAGAUACCCGGGUAGUCCUAGCCGUAAACGAUACUCGCUAGGUGUCGGCCACGGUGCGACCGUGGUCGGUGCCGUAGGGAAGCCGUGAAGCGAGCCGCCUGGGAAGUACGGCCGCAAGGCUGAAACUUAAAGGAAUUGGCGGGGGAGCAC
Molecule: ribosomal RNA, 653 nt
Filed under: uncultured Methanosaeta sp.
Lineage: Archaea; Methanobacteriati; Methanobacteriota; Methanomicrobia; Methanotrichales; Methanotrichaceae
Description: bacterial SSU rRNA
Rfam family: Archaeal small subunit ribosomal RNA
Source: RNAcentral